AGGAGCACAGGAUCCUGGGCUGUGUCCCCGGCGCCCUGGGAUCGGGGGCCUGCACUGCUGGAAUCGCGCUCCCGGGCUGAGGCUCCA
RNAcentral lists this microRNA precursor (87 nucleotides) under Canis lupus familiaris (dog). Its description in RNAcentral is "mir-8799 microRNA precursor family". It matches the Rfam family "mir-8799 microRNA precursor family". Lineage: Eukaryota; Metazoa; Chordata; Mammalia; Carnivora; Canidae. RNAcentral also lists the same sequence under 1 other name. The record is from Rfam by way of RNAcentral.